AUGUUAAUAGGUUAGGUAUAGUAGUUUGGGACUCUAUCCACUACUGUGUUUCUCUUGUCGGGGAUCCUAUGAAUUCCCAGUUGCCACCGCAAUAGGUAACCGAGAGUUAAAUGCAACCAUUUUUUUCAAAAAAAAAGAGAGUUAAAUGCAACCAGCCUUUUUAUUAUACUCUAUGUCAUAGUGUAUGUAAUUUGAUUUAUGAGAUUGAUAUCCCCAAAUUUUGGUCGGUCCAUGAACUGUUAUUCCAUGUGCACAUGCUGUUUUAACGCUAUUGACCUUGACAGUCCAUAUCUUAGGCUAGAUAAUCUAAUGACCACAAUGUAUGGCGUUAUUAUAGAUAACCGAUGAUUAUGGUCUAUUAAGGCAUUUUCAUCCCUAUUCCAUUUUUUCUUUUAAAAUAGAAUAAAAGUGAAUAUAGACUAAGGAAUGCUCCAACCCAACUCUAUAUCUCACUCCAUAAUGAAAUUUACUCUAUAAAUGAAGUAAUCUAUUUUUUGUCUGUUCAUCACUCCAUUAUGGAGUAGGAAAUGAAGUAGGGUUAGGGUAAUUUUACUCAAUUUUUAUUUUUACUCUAUUUUGGAGAAAAAAAUGGAGUUUUACAUUCGAGAUACUCUUAAUUACAUUGCAACUAUAAUUGUGUCAGUUAAAAUAACUGACUUUGAAUAUAUUUCCUUUUAGCAAUCACCUUGUUUAAUAUCAGUAUUUUUUUAUGGAUUGCCAUCUCAAGUGUUACUCCGAUCAGACUUCUUAUGUCAAUAAAUGGAUCAAAUAAUAAAUAUUCUUUUACUAUAGAUGACUGAACUCAGUGAACUCGGGCGCGAAUAUGAUGAAGGGUUUUGUGAAAGAACUCUCCGUACAAAAAACAAGAAGACAAUUUUCAAGAACACACAAAUGGUUUGUAAGAACAAUUCAGUUUCUUAGUUUACACGUUAGAGGAUUCAGAAACACCUUCAUACUUAUUUUUGUAGUUUAAACACGUUCAAAAAGAGAAGUUUUCACUUUUGUAGGAUAUAUAAAUUUUGGUGGGAUCAUCAAAUAGGAUCAUCAAACAGGAUCGAACAAAAACUUAUCAACGUUCUUGUUUUGCUUGAGAAACAAAACUGUGACCACAGCUUAUAUUUUCAUAUCGGUUUCAAUCACAAUAGUAGUUCUUAAAUCUUAACUACAUUACAUCAAUUUUAAAUGGACUCUGCCUAUACAAACAAAAAACAUGCUAUUAUGAUUAAUAUCAUGCCACUUUAGCAACUAUUCUUUUUUUCUAUCAAACCUUAAUCUAAAUAAAGCUUAGCAGUUAGCCCCUAACCUUAAAAAAAAGUUGUUCACCAAAGUAGCCGCACUGGCUAAAGCACCCACACCAUCAAAAGCAAAAUGGGAAAAAUGGAAAAUAAACACAACCGAUAUAAACAUACAUAACACCAAAGCGACUUAAGAUAGAAACACAACAAGUGUAGAACAAUUCAGAUGAACUGAUGAAGCCAUAGAAAUCAGAGGACACAUUCGCUGAACUACUGCCAAACAUGUGCCGCAUCAACAAAUACAUUAAAAUCAAGAAAUUUAGCUACAGAGGUGGUCACGUACUAUUAGAUCGGUACGUAUGGCUAAAAAGUAAUGGUAUUUUUUCUACUUAUUUUGCAACCGAUAUUUUGUUAUUAUUAAUGAUCUGAUGCUACUAUUUUUCACUAAUCCAUAGUUACUACAUGACAACGUAAAACUCGGUUGCUAUUACACAACGUUAUCUAUAAUUUAUUUUUUAUAUGAAAAAUUUCCUAUGAUAGCAUUUUAAAAUUUUUAUCACAAAAAUUGAUUUCAAUGAAAAAUGAUUAAAAUAAGUUUUAUUAAAAAAUAAAAAAAUAUAUUUAUACCAUAGAGUUAACUAAUCUAGAUUUAUGGUUCAUAGUUAAGAAGUGAGGCUUUGAAGAUAGAGUUUCAAAUUUUAUAAAAUAAAAUUAAUAUUAAAAUUUUCAAAAUAAAAAAGCUAUUUUAAUCAUUUUCUUUAUUGAAAACUAUUUUUAUGACAAAAACUUAAAAAUAACUAUCUGAGAGAAUUGUUUUUUUUUUAUAUUCCUAAACAUUAAUUAAAAUUAGUUUUUUUCGCAUUUGUUUUUACAUUUGAGAGAUUUUUACUGAUAGAAAAAAAAAUCCAUAAUACUAUUUGUAUCGUUUAAAAUUAUAUUUGUUAAGUAUUAAAAACAUCUUUCCAUUUCAAAAAUAUUACUUUAACCUUUUGCCAUAGAUGAGGAAUAGUUAAACUUUAUUUAUUUUUAAUAACUACAUUUAUUUAACUAAUAAUCUUUAAAAUAAAUAAAUGAUUUAUAAAAUUAAAAUAUUUUCCAAUUAAUAAUAUUAAAAUAAAUAUAUCAUAGUUGUAUUGAAAAUUUUAAAAUGAUUUGUUUUAUAACAAAAAAAAUAUAUAUAUAAAACAAAAAAAAUAUAAAAAUUACAUUUUCUUUAAAAUAGCACUAUAUUUUUUUAAUAUAUAUAUAAAUUGCCUUAAGACGUUUGUUAACUUAAACAUGAUGCAGAUGGAGAUCAAGUUGGAGAAAUCCUAUAUUUUUUGCGGCGGAAAAACGCGAGGGAGACACAAGAACCAUCUUCACCAGAAGUGACUUGCAUCAUGGGUCAAGCGAGGAUAAACCGGUCAAAUAAACCCAAACCGGAAGCUAAUCGGUCGGCCAAAGAUGUAACGGAAAGCCACGAACGUCCGAGACGGUUUGCGUGGAACACCCCUUCUCCGGGAAACUCAAACCGAGUUGGUUCAGCCCCGUUUGGCGCAAAUGGAGAAAAUCAGAGAAGCGAUCAUCAAGCUGGCCGGAACUUCCUCCAGAGAUCAUGAGGGAAAUUCUGAUCAGGCUGCCGAUCAAAUCGAUCGGGAGAUCCAGGUGCGUCUCAAAGCUGUUCCGCUCCCUCUCAUCAGAUCCAGGCUUCGCAAAAAGCCAGCUCGAUCUGAUGACCGCUCACCGGAAACUCAUCGUGUCUUCACACAACGGUAACAUGUAUGCAUUAGACUUGAACGAAGUAACUCGAGAUUCGAUACCUGUGGACCUCAGUUAUCCGCUUAAAGACGAACUACCAUUUCGAAGAGACUGUGUUGAAAUCUACGGAUCAUCCAACGGUUUAGUGUGUGUAUGAAGACGUUGUUCUCUUGUAUAACCCAACCACCAGAGAAUCAAAGCUGUUACCUGCUGAGAGCACUGAGACUGUCAAAAGAUACAGAGAAAAGUUCAUAUCCUAUGGAUUUGGCUUCGAUCAUCUCACCAAUGAUUACAAAGUAGUGAAGCUUGUCGCUGAUUCUAACAAUCUUCUCUACGCUUGCGUCUACUCUUUGAAGUCAAGACUCGUGGAGAUGGAUCCGCGAUUUGAGCUACCAACACAUCGACCGCUUCUGUUUCAACUGCUUCCCUCCCGGUCUGAAUCUCAACGGUGUGAUCCACUGGGUGUUCACUCUUCAACAAGGCAGUCGCAAGCGGAAAGUGAUAUUAGCAUUUGAUAUUAUAACGGAAGAGUUUGGAGAGAUGCCAUAUCCUACCGAAGCUAGGAGUUGUCCAUAUCGUUUCAUGGUAGGGAAUCUCAACGAGCGUCUUUGUUUGUUCACUAGUUGCUACGAGUUACAUGAUGAUAUUUGGGUGAUGAAUGAGUUGGGUGUAUGGCGCAGAAUCCGGAUCAGCGUGUUCUACAGGUUUAUGAAACCGGUGUGUUCGACCAAGAACAGCGAGGAGGAGGUUCUGAUGGUGUUUGAUGGAGUCAUGGUGUUGUACAAUUUUGAGACCCAUGCAAGGAGGAGACUGGAAAUUCAAGGGGAAAACCUCUGUGAGGGGUUCGAUGUCAAUUCGUACGUAGAGAGCCUCAUAUCACCAAACUCGCAUGGUCUUGACAACUGAAGAAAGCACUUUGAUUUUAAGUUAUAGAUUAAUAAGACUGGGCACAGACAGUCUACUCGUCUCGUUAGUUUGUUUUAUAUUUGGAUCGACUGUAGGUCUGUAGCCCUUUUUCUCACACAUAUAUAUUGAUAUUAGUUUGACAAUUUUAGAUCUGGUCAAAAUAAAUAGGUAUAGAGACCUUGAUGCGCUGACGCAGAAUGCAGAAUUUUGUUCAGCAAAGUAUUUUAUCUCAUACAAACCUUGCAAAAAAAUAUUAUUAUUAUAUAUAUACGCAAUUUUUUAUAGAUAUCUAGAACCUCAUUGAUCAUAUGAAUCUAUGCCAACACCUUGCUCUAAUGUGAGAAAUACUCUCAAGGCAUUCACCAAUUCUAAGUGACCUUCUUUAUUGAGUACUGACAGAUUCAAGUUCGUGAAACAGUCAGUGGAGACUGUUUUUGACGACUCGCCCAAGAUAUUCGGAGUUUGUUCUAAUGAAAACAUGUUUAUCUUUGUUUUUGUCUCUUUUUCCAUAAAAUUCUGUUGUUGUCUUGAUUAGGCUCACGUUAGUCUCUUCUAGUGUUGUCAAAGAGAUGACAUAUACUCGUAGACAGUAUGUCAAUCCAUACUAACGUAUCUUCACACAAAAAUCCAGCAUCCCUUUGUAAAGAGAAAGUGAGAAACAAUUGUAAAUUCUUUUUUAUUUUUCCCACCAAAUUAGUAAGUUCCUCGCGGACCUUAGAUAGGCCGAGAUCUUAAUGGGCUUAAAAAUAUUUCUUAAAUCAUAAAAGAUAAUAAUACUCACGAAGGUGUGUCUUUUGACCAUUUCUAAUUCAAAUUACUUAACGCGUAGAACGGGACGCGUAAUAAGAGUCUAUUUUCUCUUCUUCUCUUUCAGAUCUUAAAGGUUUCUUGCUAAAUAUGGCGGGAGAAGACAACAACCGCGAAGCUCAACGAGGCGACGACCAUGAGGAAUCGAGUCCUCUCUUGCAAGUGAACGACACCAAGAUCAACUCGAAAGGGGACAAAAAGACGGCGCCGAUUGUGCAUCCUCCCGCGGUGGAGGAAUACGGCUGGACGGCGGAUGGAUUGCCGGUGACCGACGGCAGCGUGAUCGGCGAGCCGAUCGGGAGAAACCAGUGGAACUCCGGUCUGUUCUCCUGUUUCGGACGGAACGAUGAAUUCUGCAGCAGCGAUCUCGAAGUUUGUGAGUGUUUUCUUGUCUGCUUUCUAAAAUUAGGGUUUUUGAAAUUGGGGGAAUUUUGAAAUUGAUUGAAAUUGGAAGUGAUCUGAUUGUAAUUUGUUGAAAGAGUCCAUCUUUUGAAAUGGGUCGAUCGAAAUUGAUUGAAAUUGGAAAUGAUCUGAUUGUGAUUUGUUGAAAGAGUCAAUCUUUAGAUCGUUCAGCUUAAAUAUGGGUCUUGAAGGUUAAGCUUAAUAGGCAAUCGAGAGAAGAAACCUCAAGAUGCGAUGUUAUGUGGCUUUGAUGAAACUUUUAGUGAUGAUGAUGGUAAUGGCUUUCUUUUGUUAGGUCUUCUUGGAAGUGUGGCUCCAUGUGUGCUUUAUGGAACUAAUGCAGAGAGGCUUGGGUCUGCCCCAGGAACCUUUUCGAACCACUGCUUGACGUAUUCAGGGUUGUACUUUAUUGGGAACUCUUUGUUUGGGUGGAACUGCCUUGCUCCAUGGUUCUCUUAUUCCAGCCGUUCUGCCAUUCGCCGCAAGUUUAACCUUGAGGUAUUUUUUUCUCUGUUUUCUUUCAUUUGGAAACAGACAAGUGAAUUUGAGAGAAAAAAAAAGGUUGUCCUUUGAGAAGAGAUUGAUCAACUCACGUCUUUGUAUAUGUUCUUGAUUGCUUGGAUGAUGACGAGUAGGGACCUAGCCCCAAGAGAUUCUAGUUUGUGUACCAUCGUCGCCUGGUUUCGUCAGAGUCCCUCUAGUGGCUCUAGUUACAAAGGGCUGUCUAUUAGCCUUCUAGUGGCUCUAGUUACAAAGGGCUGUCUAUUAGCCUUUAGGAUAGUCUCAUUUUGCACCUUUUUUGUUUUGUCUUCCCAUUAUCGUUUCUUCUAAUGAGAAAUUGCAUCUCCUGAACCUAUCUUUUGUUUUCUUUUUUUGGGUAAAAAACAGGGAAGCUUUGAGGCAAUGAACAGGUCGUGUGGCUGCUGCGGAAGCUGCAUAGAGGACGAGAUGCAAAGGGAGCAUAUGGAGACGACUUGUGACUUUGUGACACACGUCCUUUGCCAUACAUGUGCCCUUUGCCAAGAAGGCCGUGAGCUCCGCAGGAAGGUUCUUCACCCUGGUUUCAACGCUCAGUCUACCGUGGUGGUGCUCCCACCAAGUGAACAAACCAUGGGCCGUAAGUGAGUCCAGUGGUCUGAAUAGCACUUGUUACAUAUAUAAACAAGUGUCUUUGUGUGGAACACGAACUAUCAUGUUGUCUCUUGCUUACUUUUUUGAAUAAACUCCUUCUACGUCUGUAAUUUGUCGCGUGUAAAGAUCUUUUCUUCUACGCACUCAAACAUAUGUAUACCUUUAUUGUUAAUGGUAUGUAAUAUUCAUUUGUUUCACAACUCGUAAGGUGUUAACAUAGGGGUAACCGGAUUGGUUUAACGUAACCGAGUUUCGAGCAAAGCUUUUCAAUCGAGGAAACACAUUUUACUCUAUUAAUAAAGUUGGGAUUAUAAAAGGAAACACAUUUUACUCUAUUAAUAAAGUUGGGAUUAUAAAAUUUUAAAAUUUAGAGUUAUUAAUUUGCAAAAAAGUCAUUUUUUACAUUUCUCUACUUUUAGAGUAUAUUUUUUUUAUAAAAUAAGAAAAUAGUUAACUUUGUCUUAGAUAUAUUAAUUUAUAUUUAAAAAUUCGGUGUUUAUAUUUCGGUUUUUGGUUCUACUAUAUGGUGUAUACGAUAUAUGUUUCAUAGAAUUUAAAUGUAAUUUUAGAUAUAAUUUUACUAAAUAUUAUUAAAAAUAUAUUGAAGUGUAGAAAUAUAUAUGGUUUCAUUGUGAAUUUAAAACAAAUCUAUAUUGUUAUUUGUAAAAUAACUUUUCGCAACUCGAAUUCUCACGUUAAAAAUUAGAGCAAUUAAUAUCAUUUAUACUCUUAAUGAAUAAAAUAUAUAUUAGCUUAAAAAAUAAAAUGAAUUUAAAAUUUAUUUGAUUAGAUAAGUGGUUUAAAUUAUUAAUAAUAAAAAAUUAUCCAAAAUAUAAUAUAUUUUAAAAUAAAAAGAUAAUUCAUAUAUAUAUAUAUAUAUUGUGUAGUUAUCCGCAAAAUAUUUUUGAUAAAAAAAAUUCUUAAAAAAACUAAAAAACCGGAAACAGAUAACUAAAUAUUAAUCAAGCACAAAUUUUAUUUUUAUAUAAUUGAAAAUAGAAUAUUGAGUGAUUUCUAAUAUUUAUUAAUAAUAAAUAAAUGCAUAACGAAAUUUUCAAAAAAAUUAUAGUAUGUAAGAAUUUUCAAAUGAAAAUAUAAAUAAUAAUUUAUCCUUGUAAUCUUUUAAUUAGUAAUGUAUGUAUUAAUAAGUAAUUAUUACAUGCUCAUGUUUGCAUGCAAAGGGGAAACAUCUAGUGAUACAACGCUUUGUUUGUACUUAUAUAAACCUCAUAUACAUAUUAUUAAUUUAUGAUUUUAGCUAGACUAUAUAUAAAUAUGAUUUUCUAAAAAAUGAUUAUCUUAUUAUUUUAUUGAUUUGUAUCAUACUUUUAACUAGCACAACUCAAAACUGAAGAAAUUUAUUAAUUUAUUGUGUUUAUUAAUUAAUUUAGUAUUAAUUUUUAGAGCUUCUAUUGAAUGGACAAACAAAAUGUAGAGUAUCUCCUGGGGAUUUUAACCCGUUUAUACAAAUGUUUUGAAAACCAUACCAGACAUUGACUUGGUAUGGUGACUGAGUCAAUGGUUGGACCGGUCUAACCGGUUCAAUCGGGUUUUAUUUUAUUUAAUUUAAAAUAUAAAUUUAAAGUUAUAUAAUUAAUUUAUAUACUUUUAACUUGUACUAUAAUUGUGAAAAUAAUAUAAAAUAUUGUAAACUAAUAUAAUUAGAUAAUAUAAUAAGUUAAUUGUAUACCGGUUUAUUGUAAAUUGUAUAAUUGUUUUUUAUUUUUACUUCAGUUUUUUUAAACCGGAUUUUGAUAUUGAACUGGUUUACCGGUUUUAUCGAUUUUUGCCGGUUUUAACUGGUUUUAGAGGUUUAAUUCAAAUCCGGUUUUUAUAGUAACCCGUAACUGGCAAUAUAAAUGAGUCACAGUUCAACCAAUUUGACCAGCUGGUCUGAUCCGGUUUUCAAAACACUAAUUUAUACCCAUUGCAAUUAACUCUACUGAGCCUACCCAAACCCUUAGGGGUCAUUUUAAAAAAUAUAGUGUGAUAUUACAUUGAGGAGAGGACAUUUUAAUAUAGGCCAAUUAGCGUGUUUAGUAGCAGGUUGAUCUAAUUGCAGAGAUUAUAGAUGUGACUUAGAUUUUAGAGUUGCUGAUUUUAUAAAUGAAAAUAUUUGUUAACUUUGCAUAGAAUUAUAUUAUAUUAAUAUAGAACUAGAUUCUAACCCGCCCUUGAAAGGGCGGGUAAAUUUCUGUUUUAUAUAUUUUUUAGAAAUUUAAUUUUCAUAUAUGUGUUUUUCUUUUGUAAUCAUAUUUGUGUAAAAUAUUUUUUAAAAAUUAUUAGUAAGAAAUUUUAAUAAUUGUAUUGAAUUGUGAUGUUGCGUAUCUAUACACUUAUGCCAUAGACGAUUUAGAUACAAGUAAUAUUUUCAUACCCGAUCUAGAUCCACAGUUGAACCGAUAAACCUUGUUGUAAAAUCCAAAGCGUUUUUGUUGAUUUUUAUGCUUAAAUCUUUCUGUUUUCAUUUUCUACAUGUUUAUUUAUUCAUAUUGAUUAACACAUAAAUUUGAAGGAAGAUUUCUUACUCCUUAGUGAUGAACAUAAAGUCUAAGUCACACUCUUCUUAAUUCGUAUGGAGUCAUUCGGAUUUUCAGAGUAAGCUAUAUUCGUGAAUCUGUUUUGAUAUAGAUUGAUGUGGUUGAUUAUUUUGACUCAUCAACCAAGUUGUGGGUUUAUGUUUUUAGGUUUCAUUAGAAACUCUAAUUCUUCACAAACAUGUACUUGAAAAUUACGGUGGGCCUCUUUUCUCCUUUUUUGUUCAUUCGCUGAGUAACUUUUUACAGUGUUACGAUGAUAAUUUAUUAACCAGUAGAUGAAGCUUAACUGGGUUUUCAUUAGAAACCCUGAUUCUUGAUAAACAUGUGAUGGAAUUUAUAUUUGUGUAAAAAUUUUGUCAAAAAAUCGAAUUGGUUAUGGCAGAAAAGGUGAAAUGGUUUGUAUCGUAACCGUUUUCUUUAAAGAGAAAUAUAAUGUGGUUAAUGUUUAAAUAUAAUUAGACAUAGUUAUAUAAAAUCAGUUUUAAAAAAAAAAUUGGACCAAACAUUUAUCAAUUGGGCAUGUUGCUAAUUUAAUAGUAUUGAUUUCGUUAGUAUUGAUUUCGUUAAGUUUGUAGAGAAUUUGUAUAUUUAGAAACUCCAUCAAAUUUAUAUUAUAAUAUCACUACCGUUUGGUUCUCACGUCACGUAGCAAGGUACUUCAUAGCAAAAGUUUCCACUAGAGGUUCAUCAUAGCAAUUAUCCUACAAUUUUAUUCUUCGAGAUUCAGUCAUAUUCUUUAAUCAUAUAUGCAUUAUCUCGUAUUAAUUGCAUUAGAUCCCUUGUAAUAAUAGUUGGAUUAAGUAGUGAUUAAUUUGACCCUGUGAGUUUACUUUACAAGUGAUAUGACUUCUUUAACUUGGUUUUUAUACAUGAGUUCACGAUAAGAGGUCAAGAUCUAUACCUUUCUACUACCAUUAAUGAUAUUUGGCAUUUCUUAUACAAAUAAUUAAACAAGUCUACAGUUUAUCCUUGCUCUAGUUUGUCCUUGCUCGCUUCGGUCUUUAGUCUGGACCGUUUCGGUGGGACCAGGAUACUCGGUUAUAAAAAAAAAAUCUAUAGUUUGACCCCAAAAAAAACUAAACAAGUCUAUUAAUUAGACAGCAAAUGAGACUACCCAAAUUAUUUGCCGAUAAUUUAAUAGAAACUAAGAAUACAAAUUCUUAUAAUAAUGUAAAUGAUUGUAAAGAGAGAUGUGACACAUGGAGAAAUACCCAACUGGUUUGGCUUCUCACAACUAAACAAACACGAUGAUGAUGAUUUGGCUUGUGGCGUCAACAAGUUGAUAAAUAAUAGUUAACUAGGAUAAGACCUGCGUCUUGCGCAGGGUGAGUUUAUUUGUAUAUAUUAUCGAUAGUUUUUUUAUAGAUUUGAUCAUUUUAUUGGUAUAUAUAAAAUAUUUUUUGUUUUUUGUUGUUAUUAUAUAAUUUCUUUCCGAUAGAUCGGAUCAAUUUUUAUUAAAAAGAACGGAACAAAACUAUAAUUAAUACAUCAUGGGUUGAUCGGAUUAGACAUUAAACAAAUUAUGACAUAAAAACCUUAUUUUUUCCAUCGAACACAUUCUUGAAAAAAGUGAACAAUAUUGUUUUCACAGUUAAAUUAUUUUGACUUUUAUCUUCCAUAUGGUUUUGAAAGUUUUCAAAUCAACCAUCGAAUUAAUACAUGUCAUUUUAAUAUUUUUAGUCGUAUACUUAAGGAAAACUUACAUUUUUGUAAUUUAAAGUCGUUUUAAAAAAUUCAAAAUAUAACAUAUAAGAAAAAAUAUAACAUAUAAGGUGUCCUCAUUUUUGUAUUUUAAAGUCGUUUUAAGAAAAAAAUAUAACAUAUAAGGUUUCCUCAUUUUUGUAAUUUAAAGUCAUUUUAAAAAAUUCAAAAUAUAAAAUAUAAGAAAAAAUCUAUUUUUUUUAAUUAUAUGGUUAAUGUGAUUGUUUGUUUUUUUAAUAAUAUAAAAUUAAACAAAAUGAAGAAGGAUGCAAAAAUUGUUAUCAAAUCUUUAUUAUUCAUAAUCAUUAAUUGUCAUAUAUAUGUAAAUCAUAUUAGGUAAUUUCGUAGCUUUUAUUUAGAGAAAGAAUACACACUUUUUAUAUUUUAGGUUAAUAUAAUGUUCUAUAGUGGACAUUAAACAAAUUAUGACAUAAAAACCUUAUUUUUCUCUCGAACACAUUCUUGAAAAAGUGAACAUUAUUGUUUUCACAGUUGAAUUAUUUUGACUUUUAUCUUACAUAUGGUUUUGAAAGCUUUCAAAUCAACCAUCGAACUGAUACAUGUCAUUUUAAUGUUUUUAUUCAUAUACUUAAGGAAAACUUGCAUUUUUAUAAUUUAAAGUCGUUUUAAAAAAUUCAAAAUAUAACAUAUAAGAAAAAAUAUAACAUAUAAGAAAAAUAUAACAUAUAAUGUGUCCUCAUUUUUGUAUUUUAAAGUCGUUUAAAAAAUAUAUAUAACAUAUAAAGUUUCCUCAUUUUUGUAAUUUAAAAUUAUUUUAAAAAAUUCAAAAUAUAACAUAUAAGAAAACAUAUAUUUUUAUAUUAUAUGGUUAAUGUGAUUGUUUAUUUUUUUAAAAAAAAAUAUAAAAUUAAACAAAAAUGAAGAAGGAUGCAAAAAUUGUUAUCAAAUCUUUAUUAUUCAUAAUCAUUAAUUGUCAUAUAUAUGUAAAUCAUAUUAGGUAAUUCUGUAGCUUUUAUUUAAGGAAAGAAUACACACUUCUUAUAUUUUAGGUUAAUAUAAUGUUCUCUAGUGGACAUUAAACAAAUUAUGACAUAAAAACCUUAUUUUUUUCAUCGAACACAUUCUUGAAAAAAGUGAACAGUAUUGUUUUCACAGUUGAAUUAUUUUGACUUUUAUCUUCCAUAUGGUUUUGAAAGCUUUCAAAUCAACCAUCGAAUUGAUACAUGUCAUUUUAAUGUUUUUAGUCGUUUACUUAAGGAAAACUUACAUUUUUGUAAUUUAAAGUCGUUUUAAAAAAAUUCAAAAUAUAACAUAUAAGAAAAUUCUAACAUAUAAGAAAAAUAUAACAUAUAAGGUGUCCUCAUUUUUGUAUUUUAAAGUCGUUUAAAAAAAAAAUAUAACAUAUAAGGUUUCCUCAUUUUUGUAAUUUAAAGUCAUUUUAAAAAAUUCAAAAUAUAACAUAUAAGAAAAAAUCUAAUUUUUUUUUUAUAUGGUUAAUGUGAUUGUUUAAUUUUUUUAAUAAUAUAAAUUUAAACAAAAAUGAAGAAGGAUGCAAAAAUUGUUAUCAAAUCUUUAUUAUUCAUAAUCAUUAAUUGCCAUAUAUAUGUAAAUCAUAUUAGGUAAUUUCGUAGCUUUUAUUUAGGGAAAGAAUACACACUUCUUAUAUUUUAGGUUAAUAUAAUGUUCUCUAGUGGACAUUAAACAAAUUAUGACAUAAAAACCUUAUUUUUUCCCUCGAACACAUUCUUGAAAAAGUGAACAGUAUUGUUUUCACAGUUGAAUUAUUUUGAUUUUUAACUUACAUAUGGUUUUGAAAGCUUUCAAAUCAACCAUCGAACUGAUACAUGUCAUUUUAAUGUUUUUAGUCGUAUACUUAAGGAAAACUUACAUUUUUGUAAUUUAAAGUCGUUUUAAAAAAUUCAAAAUAUAACAUAUAAGAAAAAAUCUAAUUUUUUUAUUAUAUGGUUAAUGUGAUUGUUUAAGUUUUUUUAAUAAUAUUAAUUUAAACAAAAAUGAAGAAAGAUGCAAAAAUUGUUAUCAAAUCUUUAUUAUUCAUAAUCAUUAAUUGCCAUAUAUAUAUCAUAUUAGGUAAUUCCGUAGCUUUUAUUUAAGGAAAUAAUAUACACUUCCUAUAUUUUAGGUUAAUAUAAUGUUCUCUAGUGUUAUAUAAUUAUGGAAUAAUGUGACACCGUUAGAUUAAACUAUACUUUAUAUUAGAUGUUAUAGAAUUCUUUGAAAUAGAAUUUAGAAGGUUUAGAGUGCCACCUAGGAUUUGGGUUUUUUUUUAAUUAAUACAAAAUGAAGGUUCUAAUUUUUCAAAUGAUUCUCAAUUAAUAUAUAGGGGAUUAUUUUCCCCAAGUUGACCACUAUUUUUUUGUAAGAUACUUUGUUUAAAUGGUAGACAUUGUAGUUAGAAAAUCUCAAAAUUGUUAAAUUUCAAAAACUGGAAAUCAGAACCAAUUGAUAAAUUAGUAAUUAGAAAUUAAUAAAUUGAGCUAUGUUUUUAAUCUUUGAUAUAUUAUUCUAGAUCUCGUCGUAUGUUUGAUGUUAGACUUUUAACAUGUUUUGUAAAAAUGGUCAUUAGUUCUGUUUAGUCUCCAAUUUGAUAGCAUUGUAUGAUUUGAUAACAUAUCUUACUUAGAUGUCAAUUACUGGAAGAUGAUAUCAUGUUAAGUUCUAAGAACUUUACCAUAUAUAUCAAUAAAUCAUCAUACUUUCGACGUUGAGUUCUUAACAAAUUUUGUAUCUACGUACCUAUCAUAAUGAUGUAAAUUAAUGAUCUAGUUUUAGAUGAUUUUAAAUCACUCCCGAAUACAAACAAAUGAUUAAAAAUGAUUUUUAAAAACUCAUCUAACACACAAAUGAUUGGAAAAAAAAACUCAUCGGACCUUUAGACGACUUUAUUAUAUCUCAAUCCAUAACGAUUUGAUAUUUCUUCUUAUUGAUUUCAAACCAUUAACAUACAUAGUUACAUACAUACAUACAUUCAUACACACGCAUAUGAUUAUUAUUAUCUUUCACAACAUUAUAAUCAUUUAGAGUUCACAUAACGACAAUCCUUCCUUAUCUCCCCUUGGUCACCGGUGAGAGGGUUGGUCUCGGACAAGAGCCUGACACCGCGUGAGAAUUGUUCAUGGAAGUAACCAUUGUCCGCAGCCAUCUUGGCCACAAAAGGUGCCGUCCUCGGGUCGCUGGCUAGCUCAUCAUCGAUGACCAGGAGCCCUCUAUGAGCCAUGAUGUUCUUGUAAUACAUAUUGUCCACAACCAUGGGAGUCUCACGGUCAUUACGGGAAUAUAAGACUGCGUUCGGGUCCGGGUUUGGACUUGGGCAACGAUUUUUCAAGUAAAGGGCGUAAUCUGGGUCUAGAGUCGGGUCAAUCGUUGGGUAUAGCCGGUGCACUAGAUUAACGCAAUGGACCCUACCAACGGAGUGAGCACCUACGAUAAUAUAAGUUGACUGAUGAGUAAUAGUGACAGUCAUUUUUUGUAAAACUCAUUUCUUUUCUAAAAUCGUGAAAAAAACAAAAACCAAAAUAUUAAUCCUGGUAGUGUUAGUUACCAUGCCCUGAAAAGUUUGUGUUGUUUUAUUCACAUAGCAAUAGCUUGACAUUUUACAAAGAUUAUAUUCUAAUCAGAUAAUGACUUAAACUAAUUACAUCAUUAUCUCAUUCUAAAUAGUAGUUCUCCAAAUCUAUUGGUCUGUGCAGCUAAAAGAUGGUUACUACUCAGAUUUGCUAUAAGGAAUUAAAAGUUGUUACCUAAUAGAGCAACGGUGGCUUCAACAUCGAUGCCCAUGGAGUUAAAGUUUGAGAGAACGGAGGAGAGGGAGUCAUUGUGGUUAGGAACUAGAGUCUCAACAUCACUCAAGUAGCUUCCUCUACUGUCUCUCCUUCCUGUCUUGAUCAUAUCUAUCUUUGGCCCUUUCAACUAUUCAUUUCAACAAAAAAAAAACAGCACCACAAUUAUAAAAACAAUUCCAAACUAAUUUAACCUUAAAAUGCAUAUAGGUAAUAUAUCUAUAAUUACCAUGACAAUACCAUCUCUAGCAGAGAGAGCAACAAUAUCAGCGCAAGAGACUGUGGAAGGACAUUCUUUCUCAAGUGCGUCUUUGAUAACCUUAACGUACUUAAAGUUUCUCAUACCAAAACUCCUCGUUGACUUUUGCUCAGACUCCACACCUCUCGCUGUCUCUAGUAGCAGUGACGCAUCACACGACUACAAAGAGAAGACAUGAACAUAAAUAAAUCGUGUUUUGAUAUUAUAUUAUGAGUAGAUAAAACAGUUAACUACCUUGACGACGCAGUCAUGGAAGAGAUUACGGAGCCAAGAUACGGCUGUGUUACCGUGUUUGUAGUAAAGCGUCUCCACUUGUUGUCUGAUUAUCUCUUCCGCUCUAGGACAACUCUCUCUGUAAUAAUUCAUCUCCAGUUCCGCAUUCCCUACAAUUUUAUCAAAAAUCUAUAAAUGAUUCGUUUUCUCUACAUGCGUGUUAGCGAUUCUAUCAUUAUAAAAAGAAAAUAUUUGUUGAGUUUUUACGGUGGAAAUUAAAUGACUAAAAAAAUGUGAUAUUUGAGAGGCUUUUUUUUGAACCACAGAGAGGCAUAAUGUAAUUAGAGCAAUGAGGAAUAUUAUUACCGAUAUGGAAGAUGGAAAAUAACUGUAAUAACAGACAAAAGAAGGCCAAAAGACAGAAGGGCAUCUUCGCAUUCGCCAUCUCUCUCUCUCUCUUUUCUUUUUCUACUUUGUUGAUUGGUGUGUCUCUUUAUGUGUACCAAAGUAGGGUUAUAUAGAGAGAGUUCAAGGGACUUGAGUGUAUCUGUGACAAAAAAAAGGGACUUGAGUGUAUUAUAUAAUUAUCUUUAUUUAUUAGCCAUAGUGGUUGCCCAUAUUAAUUAUUCACUUUUUGUAAUCAUCGGUUGUUUCUUAAUUAUAAAUUAUAAACACAUAUUAAUACUGAAAUUUAUAACCACUAGCUACGUGAACUCAAUAGUUGUUGAACAUGUGAAUUCAGUGAGACUUGAUUUCCUUUUUCUUUUCUUUUUUUGUCACAAUGAGACUUGAUUUCCUAUUUUAUCCUAUAAUCAUACAAAACUAAUUAGUUUGGCUUUUCACUUUUGUUCUAUUAUAAUACAAAACUGUCCUUUUCCUCUACUUAAUUUUUUCAACCUUCAUUUAUUAAUUAGCCAUCCCCAUACAACUCCAUGCUCCACAAGCAAAGCAGAUAGAAAAGGAGGAGAUAUAAUAUGAAUUACGUACUAACUAAUUGAUUGAAUCGGAUUGAAAAAAAUAGAAUAUUUACAUUAUUUUUAAAUGCUUGCGAUGAAUAUGAAUAUUGCACAUCAACGUCUAGAAUAUGACCAACUCUAUUAACUUACAACCCAGGCUUACAACCAUGCUAAUCCCUAGGUAUAUACUAUAUGCUAUAUAUAGCCUAUUAUAUUAAAUUCGAAAGUUCAUUCACUAAUAAAAAGUUCUUGUUACCCUUCACUGCAUAAAGCUUGUACGACCAUUUUUUAUAGAUUCUCACAGCUUACUGACAUUUUACCUUCCAUGUGAAAUAUAUUACCUAGUUGGAUUCAUAGUUCUCUUUAGAAACUUAUUGCUUCGUUUCUGCAGUUGUAACAAAAGUAGAACGAGAGAAAUGGACUAGCUAGUCACAAGUAUGUAUAUGCAUGGCCCAUUAAUGUACUGCAUCAUGGCAAAAUUAUUGGAUACAUAUUAUAUAAAAAUCUCUAAAGAUAGCCACUCUCCAGUUCCGCAUUCCCUACAAUUUUAUCAAAAAUCUAUAAAUGAUUCGUUUUCUCUACAUGCGUGUUAGCGAUUCUAUCAUUAUAAAAAGAAAAUAUUUGUUGAGUUUUUACGGUGGAAAUUAAAUGACUAAAAAAAUGUGAUAUUUGAGAGGCUUUUUUUUGAACCACAGAGAGGCAUAAUGUAAUUAGAGCAAUGAGGAAUAUUAUUACCGAUAUGGAAGAUGGAAAAUAACUGUAAUAACAGACAAAAGAAGGCCAAAAGACAGAAGGGCAUCUUCGCAUUCGCCAUCUCUCUCUCUCUCUUUUCUUUUUCUACUUUGUUGAUUGGUGUGUCUCUUUAUGUGUACCAAAGUAGGGUUAUAUAGAGAGAGUUCAAGGGACUUGAGUGUAUCUGUGACAAAAAAAAGGGACUUGAGUGUAUUAUAUAAUUAUCUUUAUUUAUUAGCCAUAGUGGUUGCCCAUAUUAAUUAUUCACUUUUUGUAAUCAUCGGUUGUUUCUUAAUUAUAAAUUAUAAACACAUAUUAAUACUGAAAUUUAUAACCACUAGCUACGUGAACUCAAUAGUUGUUGAACAUGUGAAUUCAGUGAGACUUGAUUUCCUUUUUCUUUUCUUUUUUUGUCACAAUGAGACUUGAUUUCCUAUUUUAUCCUAUAAUCAUACAAAACUAAUUAGUUUGGCUUUUCACUUUUGUUCUAUUAUAAUACAAAACUGUCCUUUUCCUCUACUUAAUUUUUUCAACCUUCAUUUAUUAAUUAGCCAUCCCCAUACAACUCCAUGCUCCACAAGCAAAGCAGAUAGAAAAGGAGGAGAUAUAAUAUGAAUUACGUACUAACUAAUUGAUUGAAUCGGAUUGAAAAAAAAAAUAGAAUAUUUACAUUAUUUUUUAAUGCUUGCGAUGAAUAUGAAUAUUGCACAUCACCGUCUAGAAUAUGACCAACUCUAUUAACUUACAACCAUGCUAAUCCCUAGGUGUAUACUAUAUGCUAUAUAUAGCCUAUUAUGUUAAAUUCGAAAGUUCAUUCACUAAUAAAAAAUUCUUGUUACCCUUCACUGCAAAAGCUUGUACGACCAUUUUUAUAGAUCCUCACAGCUUACUGACAUUUUACCUUCCAUGCGAAAUGUCAUUACCUAGUUGGAUUCAUAGUUCUCUUUAGAAACUUAUUGCUUCGUUUCUGCAGUUGUAACAAAAGUAGAACGAGAGAAAUGGACUAGCUAGUCACAAGUAUGUAUAUGCAUGGCCCAUUAAUGUACUGCAUCAUGGCAAAAUUAUUGGAUACAUAUUAUAUAAAAAUCUCUAAAGAUAGCCACAAAUAUAAAAUUUUAAUUAUCUGUAACCAUUAAUUAACCAAAAUAUAAUUCAGAUAAAGUUAUAGACUCUACAGUAUAGUCUUAUAAUAUAUAUAUAGCAAUAAUUGAAUAUAUUGUUGGAAAAUGGGGUUGAGGAUUAGAUAUUCGAUAGAGACAUUUGUGUGAUGUUAGCAUUUUUUUUUCUCAAAUCGGUAAUGCAUGCAUACUUUUAAAAGAGUAGUUACUCUUCAAAUCUCGAGUUGGAUAUGGUCUCCAACUCGAUCGGUAAGCUUUUUAUGAGUCGGGCUGCAGCAUGAUUGUCAUUCCAUGGUCAAACUCGAACAUUAUGAGAAGUCUUCUCAAAUAUGAAAGAUGUUUUAGUAGAUGCUCAACGAUCACAUGAACAAGAACUUACUAAAUCACUUGGAACUUUGGAAGAGUUUGAUUAUGAUUGAUGUCAUGAUAUUUAAGUUAUCUUUUAUAGAGAUACAUACAUCAUACAUACAAUAUGAUUAGUAUUCAAAAAAAUAAUAAAUGAUUAGUAUUCCGGUCUUUGGUCCAAGUGAUCUAUCUAUACGAGUUUUGAGCAUGUGUAGCCGUAAGCCGUUUUACGUCAUUUCGGACCGGAGCCUUGUUAACGUUUAUAAUUGUUAGAAUCGAAUCAUAAAAAUCUAUACAGUAAUACUGUAGAAUAAAACAUAUAAAGAAUUAAAUUAACAAAGAAAAUAUUAAUUAUACAACAAUAUUUUCUUUAAAAAUCUAAUCAAGUUUUAUCAUUAAAAUUGAUAAAUAACUUUUAGAUAAAAUAUUUAAAUUAUUCAAUGUAUUUUAUGCCUAUAAUCAAGUAAGGUAAAAUUUAAUCAAAAUUUUAAAAAUAUAUUUUAAAAUUGCAUUCAACCUAUAAUCGCCAAUCAAUCUAAUUACUCUAUUUUCUUUAACAGUUAACGUUUGUCUACAUUUUUGUCACAUAGGCAAACUCAUGUUUUAUAGUUAUAUUAUGAUGUUAUAGUAAUAGAUGAUGCCUUUGAUUUUGAAUUUUUUUUUUGCUGCCAUAAGCGAAUGUUCUUUUUCUUUAAACUGAGGCUGCACUGUUUCGGACAUGUUCUUGAUGCAAAAUUAAUGCGUUUAUCGAUGUUAAAAUGGGAUAUUUUGACGUCACUGAAUGUUCUAUAUCAUCAUCAGCCGCUCAUCCGUCGACCACUUUAUCACUUAUGUAAUAACACACUCCACAAAACAUUUGGUGAAUUUGGUUUAUAUGCAUUUAUGGUGGCACUGAGAGUUGCUUUUUGCUGGACGUUUACGAGUCUAGACCUAUCUUAUUCAGCAACUUCAAAUCGGUUGCCACUAUUUCAACUUAGUAUUCAUAAGGAAAAAAAAAUUAUAAGGAAAGAUGUCUCAUUUUCUUAUUUUCUAGUUUGUCGUAUUAAGCUAAAAUUUUAAAUACAUUUCAUCACAAUAUGCAUGUAGUACGAAAUUUUUAUAAUGCAAUUUACUAAAACACUGCUUUUCCAGAGCAAUAUAAAAAAGCUCAUACGUAUUAUUUCAGAAAAUUUAUAAUUACAAGAAUUUUAGUUUUUUUGUUUGCUUAAAAAUCUUGCAUUAAUAAUACUUCUGUUUUAGAUUGGUAUUGUAAUUCGUUUUGCAAUGACAAACAAUUCAUUAGUUUUCUAAUGCAUUUUUAAAAGUAUACUCAUAGUUUACUUAACUUGAAAGCAUACAAUAUUUUUUUCGAAGAUUCCUUGGUGUAUUAUGAAUGAAUUAAUUGAGAGCCAUUAAGUUUGACAUUUUAGGCACUUGCGUAAUCGCAUGCGCAUUUGCAAACCACUAAUAAAAACCAAGGAUCCCACUUUCUUGACCGAUGGCGGCUGUUGUCCAAUCCAUUCACUUCCACGCAUAAUGCUUUGUUGCCGAUGCUUCACUUAUCUUCAACACUCAUUAUGUAUAUGAUCCCCCACCCCAGUUUUUCUCUACAUCUAAAAGUAUGUGUUUUUUUCUAGAUGCUUAUGAGAGUACUGAUCCUCUUUCACUAAUAACAAUGUAUUUACUUUCUAAGAUUCCGAGCGUUUUGUUUAGUUUAAUUUGUAAAUAUGUAAUAAAAUUAUAAAACUAAUGAUUUUUGUUUUUAAAUACGAAGUUUUGUUUAGAAAGAUUGAAAUGCGAUAUUCUUGCAAUGAAUCUUGAUCAUAUAUUUGGAAUAGUGAAAGCGGGCGUGGAAUAAAGGUUGAUGAAUGAAAAAAAAUAGAACACAAAUUGCUAACUGACAUGUUAAAUUCUACCUAAAAACAUUUCAAAAAAAAAAGAAAAUCUAUCUAAACAAGAAAGGUUAUAAUCAUUUCCCUAGGUUUCGACGUUAAGUCCAUUGUUGUUUCCGAUAUCAAAAUAUGGGAUCGGUCUUGAGACAUGAAAAAACUACGGUAUAAAAACUGAAUGAUCCAUACAUAUAUACUCCCUCUGUUCUCAAAUGUAAAAUGUUUUGGGUAGUACACACUUAUUAAAAAAAAUAUUUUUUAUUUAGAAAGUAUCAUUGAAAUUAUAAACUAAAAACUAAUCAACCAAAUACAAAAUAAAACUAUUAAAUUUGAUUGGCUACACAUAAAAAUUAUUCUAAACAUCUUACAUUUCAGAACAGAGGGAAUAUAUGUUUGGAUAAUUUGGAAAUUGAAUGAUCCGUGUAUAUAUAUAUAUAUUAUUAAUCUGGGUACUGUUUUGGACAUGAAAAAAGGGUCCAGACUAAUCUGUAAGAGCAUCUCCAAUGUACACCUCUAUAUUUUCUUCUAAAACAGAGAUCUCUAUUAUAGAUGUGAAAAUGCUCCAAUGUAUGUUCCUUAUCUCCCCUUGGUCACCGGUGAGAGGGUUGGUCUCGGACAAGAGCCUGACACCGCGUGAGAAUUGUUCAUGGAAGUAACCAUUGUCCGCAGCCAUCUUGGCCACAAAAGGUGCCGUCCUCGGGUCGCUGGCUAGCUCAUCAUCGAUGACAAGGAGCCCUUUAUGAGCCAUGAUGUUCUUGUAAUACAUAUUGUCCACAACCAUGGGAGUCUCACGGUCAUUACGGGAAUAUAAGACUGCGUUCGGAUCCGGGUUUGGACUUGGGCAACGAUUUUUCAAGUAAAGGGCGUAAUCUGGGUCUAGAGUCGGGUCAAUCGUUGGGUAUAGCCGGUGCACUAGAUUAACGCAAUGGACCCUACCAACGGAGUGAGCACCUACGAUAAUAUAAGUUGACUGAUGAGUAAUAGUGACAGUCAUUUUUUGUAAAACUCAUUUCUUUUCUAAAAUCGUGAAAAAAAACAAAAACCAAAAUAUUCAUCCUGGUAGUGUUAGUUACCAUGCCCUGAAAAGUUUGUGUUGUUUUAUUCACAUAGCAAUAGCUUAACAUUUU
Molecule: long non-coding RNA, 20835 nt
Filed under: Brassica napus (rape)
Lineage: Eukaryota; Viridiplantae; Streptophyta; Magnoliopsida; Brassicales; Brassicaceae
Description: long non-coding RNA (BNAP_LNC002255)
Source: RNAcentral